UACGAAGGGGGCUAGCGUUGCUCGGAAUCACUGGGCGUAAAGCGCACGUAGGCGGCUUGUUAAGUCAGGGGUGAAAUCCUGGAGCUCAACUCCAGAACUGCCUUUGAUACUGGCGAACUUGAGUGCGUGAGGGGUAGGGGGAACGAGCAGUGUAGCGGUGAAAUGCGUAGAUAUUGCUCGGAAGGCCAGAGCCGAAGGGGCCCUACUGGUGCGCAACUGACACUGAGGCACGAAAGCGUGGGGAGCAAACAGG
RNAcentral lists this ribosomal RNA (253 nucleotides) under uncultured bacterium. RNAcentral's name for it is "partial 16S ribosomal RNA". It matches the Rfam family "Bacterial small subunit ribosomal RNA", at positions 524 to 776 of the family's 1533-position model. The record is from RNAcentral.